Paramuricea clavata is the source of this 89-nucleotide non-coding RNA. The record is from the annotation of a GenBank genome assembly. NCBI's taxonomy places the organism in Eukaryota, Metazoa, Cnidaria, Anthozoa, Malacalcyonacea, Plexauridae.
GUAGUCGUGGCCGAGUGGUGCCAAGGUGACAGACUAGAACUGAUCUGUUAGCGGAUGAUCCUGCGCAGGUUCGAAUCCUGCCGAUUACG